RNAcentral lists this ribosomal RNA (117 nucleotides) under Oscillospiraceae bacterium. The record is from RNAcentral. Lineage: Bacteria; Bacillati; Bacillota; Clostridia; Eubacteriales; Oscillospiraceae.
GUCAGUGUCUUUAGCGUUGAGGGUCCACCCGUUCCCAUUCCGAACACGGAAGUUAAGCUCAACUGUGCCGAAAAUACUUGGCUGGCGACGGCCCGGAAAGAUAGGUCGAUGCUGACA